UACGGAGGGUGCAAGCGUUAAUCGGAAUUACUGGGCGUAAAGGGCUCGUAGGCGGCCAACUAAGUCAGACGUGAAAUCCCCAGGCUCAACCUGGGAACUGCGUCUGAUACUGGAUGGCUUGAAUCCGGGAGAGGGAUGCAGAAUUCCAGGUGUAGCGGUGAAAUGCGUAGAUAUCUGGAGGAAUACCGGUGGCGAAGGCGGCAUCCUGGACCGGCAUUGACGCUGAGGAGCGAAAGCCAGGGGAGCAAACGGG
Molecule: ribosomal RNA, 253 nt
Filed under: uncultured bacterium
Lineage: Bacteria
Description: partial 16S ribosomal RNA
Rfam family: Bacterial small subunit ribosomal RNA
Source: RNAcentral